GUGCCUGCUGCUAAUGGAAAACUUCGAUCUCCGAAGUUAUGGGAAGGUAUUUGCACACUGGACAAAGGAAUCAGAGGCUGUGCUGAGAGGUGAACAUGCACCUGUAUUCAGACUAAGAAAGCGCAAAUCUGUGGAACUUAGCCUGAAACCAGCAGAAGGGAUGUGCUGGAUGGAGACAACAUAGAAUCCAAGGAGCCAUUCCUCUUUGGUUUUCAGGUCCAAGAGGACAUGGAAUUAUUUUUACAGGCCUGUGUUGACCAGCGGGGCCUUCGGGUUAAUGCUGUCUGUUAUAAGAAUGAUUAAAUUACUGGCACAUGA
Long non-coding RNA from Brienomyrus brachyistius, 318 nucleotides. RefSeq lists it as uncharacterized. The record is from RefSeq and is a predicted model, not a curated record. Lineage: Eukaryota; Metazoa; Chordata; Actinopteri; Osteoglossiformes; Mormyridae. The transcript has 3 exons.